Gallus gallus (chicken) is the source of this 3969-nucleotide long non-coding RNA. RefSeq lists it as uncharacterized. The transcript is spliced from 3 exons. Lineage: Eukaryota; Metazoa; Chordata; Aves; Galliformes; Phasianidae. The record is from RefSeq and is a predicted model, not a curated record.
AGAGUCAAGUAUUUAUUUUCUAAGUCUGGUUGACUUUUUAAUGUCUUAUUUUAUGGGAGAUCUACUGGCAUUGUUUAUUUUCAAUCCAUGAUGAACAAACCUUAAGAGUUUAGGAAUUUGAGUAUGAUAUUCCAGACUCUAAAAUUCAAAUAUAUUUUCAUAAUUUAUCCUGACAUUUAGGGGCCUGCUAUUUUUCUACAUUGAGGAAGGCUCUAUUAUAGAAGACUUACUACUAUCUUCCUCUUAUUGGUGUAUUUGAAAGACAUCUGCAGUAGUCAUUUUUUUCUUCAAUAUUUAAAAAACAUUUUGAUAAACCACUGAAUUACUUACUCUAUAUAAGAAAAAAUUCUCACUCGGAGAAAAUGUAGGGGUUGAUAAUCCAACCAAAAUUAUCAUCACAUCUAGUGAUGUGAAGGAAAAUGCCCAUAUGGUCAAAGGAAGUAAAAUAUAAUAAUAAAACUCCCUGCAUGCAUACACAUUUAAGAUGAAGGCAAAGAUUUAUGCUGAGCUUCUUCAUACCCUUAAAAUCAACUUUUUCUAUGAUUCUCCCAUUUAAUAACUAUUCUCCACAAAACAUAUGUGCCCUUAUUUGCAGUGAUACUGACCCCCUAUUCAGUAAUUAGAUAUAAAAAUUUACAAUGUAGCACAUACUUCUUUUACGUGUGGCACUUGGCUUUUAUGAACUUGGUAAAGGGCUGGUAAUUGUACAUAGUCCAGCUGUGAACUAUUCAAACUGCUUCUCCUAAGAAAGUUCAGAAAUAAAUGCAGUAUGGCUGUUAGCUCACCGUUAUUUAUGAAAUCCAAUUUCUUUAGGUGUCUUAAAUUGUAUUUUCAAUAAUUAUGAUGAGUAGAUAUAAAAAACAUAGGGAUUAUGGUUUAACAGGUGUCAUCUAAUACCAUGCUUGAGUGCUGUAAAUAGCCCAAGGAGUAUAUUCACGUCUAAUUGUCUACACUCCAGAGCACAACAGCUGCCACUUGUAGCAGAUGCAUCAUCUGACUGACUAUAUUCUCCAAUGUGUCGACAGGCUCUUCUGGUGCAGCUGAUUAUAUAUGAUCAUAUUUGGCAUAGCUGCAUGCCCUUAAUAGACACUUCUAUCAUUGUUCACUGAACACUGGAAUACUUUAGUCAGCUGUUUAUUAUGCCAGCUAUAAUGGAGUAUCAGCCAAAAAAACUUCAUUAAGAUUGCUGUUUACUGGACUAUGUAAAAUGAAUCAAUGACCUUAACAAACUAGUGUCCACAUGUCAAAAAAUGCACUACAGUGGACAGAAACAGCAGCCUUAGCCAGAAUUCUUUACAGAGAGAAGGGAGCCUUUUCUAAUCCUAGCUGAGCAUGGGUAGUAAAAGUAAUUUGACUGUAGGAAAGGUGUUCUUUUACAGUUUUCAGCAUUCAGGAAGGAGCUUUUGGAAAUGAUUACUGUUCACCAUGUACAGUGUUUGGAUUUGUCUAGGUCUACUCACUUAAUGAGUAGAACAAAUAAUAGAGUAGAUUAAGGAUAUUUAUUUUCUCUAGAAUACUGCAGUGGAAGGAAAAGAUCAAAUCACUGACUUAACAAGGUCAAGUACAGUUUGAAAUAAAAAAUAAUUGAAUGAACAGAUUUGAUAGCAGAGCGAUUUGGGGAAAAUUGAUUUUUGGAACCUGCAGUAGGUAAGUAUAAUGUAAUUGUUUGUAGCUGUUUCAGAUAGGUGUCCAGGAUAGAUCUCAUGCCAUGCAGUUUUGGUUUCCUGAUUCCUAAGGAUAGAUUAAGACUUUCCCUUAAAAUAAAUAAAAUAUAUGGGACAGAGAUGAAACUUUUAGUGCCAGCUGCUAAAGAGGUAAUGAUAAGUAAUAAAGCAGUGGUGUUUUGGAAGUAAGGUUCUAAGGACUGAUAAAUCAAUCCUCUUCCAACUGGAGAGUGAUUAAUUGUAAAAUCCUAGCCUGCACUGUGUGAAUUUUCAGACAGUAACAUUGAAGCCUUAUCCACUCACAAGUGUUUGUAUCUUGUUCAUUCCUAGAGAAUGGGGAGUCCUCUCUUUAACAGAUGCAGUAGUAAGGCAUGAAGAUUAUAUUGUCAUCUGGAGCACACAAUCAUGUUAGACCACCAUGAUUUCUUAAAAUUAGUUAGACAAGGCUACCUGCACGAAUAACUUUUAUUAGUCAAAUUAAGAUCUCACACAAAGAACAGCUACUAAAAUGUCUGUGGCUAGUGGCAUACAUCAAUAUAUAGAGUACUUCAGAUCUCAGUAAUACAGCCUUGUGGAAGUAUGAAAAGCCUUUAAAAUGGUGCAAAAAGUGUGGUGGUUGGUUGGUUGGUUUGCUUUGUUUAAGUCCAUUAUUUUCUGCAGCUGUAAGAGGAAGAGUGGUGAGAAGAUAUCUUAUUGAGAAAGCCCAUGUUUAUGUGGAAGAUGAGUUUCUGAUCCUAGAAUGACUCUGGCUGGUAAUUUAAGGAGAAUGCCAUAUUUUAGAUAUAUUAAUAUAAACACAAAGGCUCUCAGUAAGGAUGCGUUAAACUAUUUUGACAUUUUUUUUUCCCCAUAUUAUUACAAGUAUCAAAAUGCUGAAUUAAUUAAGAGGAAUAAGAGUGCCAUAUGCUUAUACUACAAUGCACAAAUACUGCACCAACACAUGAAAUGUAUUUUCCAUGCAAUAACAUGAUUCUAAGCAGCCAAAAAGAUGAAUUGCCAAUUUUUAUAUUAGACUGUUCUUAAUAUUGUUUUAACCUGAAAUUCUGUAGAUUGUUUUUUAUGCUUAACACAACUUUUCAAAUCAAAAACUCUUUCAUGGUGACUGCAUUGUUCUCAGUCACUCGGUUUGCUAUGCCCUCAUUGUGUUUUAUCUAACAAUGACAAGCACGUGAAAUAUUCAGAUUCUACGUACUAAUUAUUACGAGAUAAAGUUGAAUUUUUGUAAUUUUCUAUCUUAGGAAAACUAAGGAAAGAGAAUUAUUAGCUGUUCACAGAUUUUGUUGCAACUUCUUUUGUUCUUUUGUUGCAGUGUUCUCACCUAUAAUGGGAAUUGAAGCCACAUCAAUCAAACCAAACUUACUGAUGGCUUAGGCAAAAGUGUCUGAUACCUGUCAUGAGUGGGUAACUUCAGUUCCCAAAUCUAGGAAAUGCAUGCUUGCAAAACUCUACCCUGAAAUAGCCCAAAUGACCUGUUGCAGAAGAAGGGGACAGUAGAAAUACAAUUGUGAAACACAUUUUUCACUACCAUAUUCUGUGCAUUAUGCAAUGCCUUGUUACGAAGGUUACCCUUCACUUCUGAAGUAGUUUGCAUGCAGACCUAAACUGGUAACUCAGAGCAGGAUCUUCUGCUUAACAGAAUAGUUGUUUGUUAAUGUCAGGCUCAACUACUGUCAAAUGAUGCUGACUGCAAUUCUAGUCAAAAUCAAAUUUUGUCUGCCUUGUGUAAUGCCAUUUGCACUAGCAGGAAGGCAUCACAAUAGUGCAUCCAAAACUGUAGAGUCACAAAGAGAAUAGAACUCUGAGGUUCCAAAGGAAUGUUUGAUCUUGAACUUUUUGGCUAUGUGUUUAAUUUUCUCCCAUAGUCAGUACAGUGUCAGUACUCUUUGCAAAUGUGAACUAGCUCUGCAUCCAAAUGUGUGUUUUUAAAGCUCUGCAUCACUCAGUGUCUUUGAGAGUAGCCUGAUGGAUAGACUGAUUGCUAGAAAUGCUUAGGAAGUGCCAGCAAAGGUGCAAUACUUCUGGAUCCAGCAGAUUUUGAGAAGAGUACAAACACUGCAUUAGCUUUUGGUGGAAUCUGAAAUAAAUGAAACAGUUCAGAAAAGGAGGCGUUGAUUGAAAUAUGUGUUCAGCUGUUCUGGGAACGGUGAUCAGAGAGCCACAAUAUUUGUCAUCAGAAUGUGCCAAUUCAAGGGAAGGAACCAUAAUGCAAUGAAACAUUUGGCAUUUGACAGAGGUGUCUGUCCAGAUGGAAGUCUCAAAGAUUCUCUGCUUUCUACACCCACAAUAAAAAGUUGACACUGAGUAA